This 253-nucleotide ribosomal RNA is filed under the name uncultured bacterium. RNAcentral's name for it is "partial 16S ribosomal RNA". It matches the Rfam family "Bacterial small subunit ribosomal RNA", at positions 524 to 776 of the family's 1533-position model. The record is from RNAcentral.
UACGUAGGGGGCUAGCGUUGUCCGGAAUCAUUGGGCGUAAAGAGCGUGUAGGCGGUCCGGUAAGUCCGUUGUGAAAGUCAGGGGCUCAACCCUUGAAUGCCGGCGGAUACUGUCGGGCUAGAGUCCGGAAGAGGCGAGUGGAAUUCCCGGUGUAGCGGUGAAAUGCGCAGAUAUCGGGAGGAACACCUAUGGCGAAGGCAGCUCGCUGGGACGGUACUGACGCUGAGACGCGAAAGCGUGGGGAGCAAACGGG